This 484-nucleotide ribosomal RNA is filed under the name uncultured bacterium. Its description in RNAcentral is "partial 16S ribosomal RNA". It matches the Rfam family "Bacterial small subunit ribosomal RNA", at positions 30 to 507 of the family's 1533-position model. The record is from RNAcentral.
AUUGAACGCUGGCGGCAGGCCUAACACAUGCAAGUCGAGCGGAUGAAGGGAGCUUGCUCCUGGAUUCAGCGGCGGACGGGUGAGUAAUGCCUAGGAAUCUGCCUGGUAGUGGGGGAUAACGUCCGGAAACGGGCGCUAAUACCGCAUACGUCCUGAGGGAGAAAGUGGGGGAUCUUCGGACCUCACGCUCUCAGAUGAGCCUAGGUCGGAUUAGCUAGUUGGUGGGGUAAAGGCCUACCAAGGCGACGAUCCGUAACUGGUCUGAGAGGAUGAUCAGUCACACUGGAACUGAGACACGGUCCAGACUCCUACGGGAGGCAGCAGUGGGGAAUAUUGGACAGUGGGCGAAAGCCUGAUCCAGCCAGGCCGCGUGUGUGAAGAAGGUCUUCGGAUUGUAAAGCACUUUAAGUUGGGAGGAAGGGCAGUAAGUUAAUACCUUGCUGUUUUGACGUUACCAACAGAAUAAGCACCGGCUAACUUCGUG